GUGUCAAAGGUUUCCAUCUUUUCACUCGAAGACUUGACUAUCAUCCAGUGAUGUGCGUUAAAUACUAAUAUUGUAGGAAUAAUAUUGUAGAUCACAAUACAAUUUUCGUAAAUAGAAAUUAACAAAAGUAGAAGAGUUAGCCAUAAUCUUCCUGUUUUCUACGAGUUUAACGUAAUCAUAAAGAAUUGACUAUAAUAAGGGGGGGGGGAUAAAGACAAUGUUACGAGUUGCCAAGUCAUAUUGGUACAAAGGUGAGCGAGUAAAAGUGUGUAUAGAUUUCUACCCAAAAUGGAGGUGAUUAUGUUCUUUUUAAUUUUUUAAUGUCUUUUAUAUACUAAGAGUUCGUCAGCCAAAGGUUUCCUGUGGUCUUUUCUUCAACUCAAGGAGACGUAAUUUCUCUCUUUCAGGGGCUGGCCAUUACGUUCGUCAGCGAAGAAGGCGAUGCAAAGACACUAAACGAGGUCCAGGAGAGAUUCGACGUGAACAUCACAGAGUUACCGGACGAGAUCGACCUGUCGUCUUACAUUGAGGGCCGUUAAUUAAGGACGUCUGUCUGCUGUGGCUGCAUUUUGUGUGGAAGUCUGUGAGUGGAUGGAUAAAAGAGAGAGGGGAGUGACCAGUCUCCCGAUCCCCCAGUACCUACUAAGUGACCAACCCCCCGUCACAACGUAUAUUUAGGAGUGUAAGAAAAUAAGAAAGAAAAACCCUUCCCCUCCCCCAUGUGUAUUUUAUUUAUAUAUAUUUUUGGAUAAGAAUCAUUGAGUCCCCCAAAAUGAGAGAUUUCGAUGUUGUACCAAAGUUUAGUAAUUAUCUGAUUUAUCUUGAUAUACUUCUUCAAGCUUCUCAGAAAAGAAAGUGGAAUAUUUUUUUAAGUUUAUUUUCUAUUUUUUGUCUGAACAAAUUCGUCGUGUUUUUGCUUUUGAUUUUUGUUGUCCAUUUCUGAGGUAGCGGGAAAAAAUAAAUCUU
Molecule: long non-coding RNA, 966 nt
Organism: Macrobrachium nipponense
Lineage: Eukaryota; Metazoa; Arthropoda; Malacostraca; Decapoda; Palaemonidae
Exons: 2
Source: RefSeq, a predicted model, not a curated record